RNAcentral lists this long non-coding RNA (705 nucleotides) under Physcomitrium patens. Its description in RNAcentral is "long non-coding RNA (PPAT_LNC005375)". Lineage: Eukaryota; Viridiplantae; Streptophyta; Bryopsida; Funariales; Funariaceae. The record is from RNAcentral.
GCAUAAAAACUUCAUCUUUGAUUUAAAUCUUUAUCCAACAUUAAUUUUCAUCCGAUACACAUCUCAUCCGAUUUAACCUAAUUCCACCCUAACCUAAUUCAUCUCUGUCUACUCUAGUCGUCAUGGUGCGACUUUAUCUUCAGUGGAGAUGUUCUCAUCAAGUCGAAAGAUUUGGAUGUAGGGGUUGCUUUAUUGUGAAUUGAAUCCCAAAUCCUCAACACACUGAUCAACCCCAUAAUGAAAAAAAAAACGUCGUUAUCCUUCAUAACCCCAACCAUUGUGAAGCUGCGCCGUACCUCCGUGUUGUAAAAGUAUUUAGAAGAGGGGAGAGCCUCUUUGGUCGUAGCUUGAUGUCACAGCAGGCCAAAGAACACAAUUGAGCGGAAAAUUUAGGAUUGUUGAGAUCUUCUGCAAUUCUUUAUUUGAGCAGACCAACAGUGAUUGACUUCACUUGCACCAGAUCAUUAGCUCAAGCCACGAUUUUUCUUUCAUUUUUUCAUCUCAGAACCCACAAUUAAUCUUUGAGGUGAAUUCAGAACAGCGCUAAGGUAAGAUAAAAAAAUAUUUUGAAUGAGCAAGCAAAUCUGUCCAUUCUCGAAAUCAAGUCGCAAUGGUGGUGGGUUGUUUAAAUCCUCAUCAACAACCAUGGGCGUUGACACAGCAGCUCCCAAAUCUCACGUAGCUCAAUGCAGUCAAUUGGAGAUG